RNAcentral lists this ribosomal RNA (253 nucleotides) under uncultured bacterium. RNAcentral describes it as "partial 16S ribosomal RNA". It matches the Rfam family "Bacterial small subunit ribosomal RNA", at positions 524 to 776 of the family's 1533-position model. The record is from RNAcentral.
UACGAAGGGGGCUAGCGUUGUUCGGAAUCACUGGGCGUAAAGCGCACGUAGGCGGAUUGUUAGGUCGGGGGUGAAAUCCUGAGGCUCAACCUCAGAACUGCCUUCGAUACUGGCAAUCUCGAGUCCGGAAGAGGUUGGUGGAACAGCUAGUGUAGAGGUGAAAUUCGUAGAUAUUAGCUAGAACACCAGUGGCGAAGGCGGCCAACUGGUCCGGUACUGACGCUGAGGUGCGAAAGCGUGGGGAGCAAACAGG